CCCUACGGGAGGCUGCAGUAGGGAAUAUUGGGCAAUGGGCGAAAGCCUGACCCAGCAACGCCGCGUGCACGAUGAAGGCCUUCGGGUCGUAAAGUGCUUUUCUGAGGGAUGAGUAAGGACAGUACCUCAGGAAUAAGCCUCGGCUAACUACGUGCCAGCAGCCGCGGUAAAACGUAGGAGGCGAGCGUUAUCCGGAUUUACUGGGCGUAAAGCGUGUGUAGGCGGUUCGGCAAGUUGGAUGUGAAAGCUCCUGGCUUAACUAGGAGAGGUCGUUCAAUACUACCGAACUUGAGGGCAUCAGAGGAGAGUGGAAUUCCCGGUGUAGUGGUGAAAUGCGUAGAUAUCGGGAGGAACACCAGUGGCGAAAGCGGCUCUCUGGGAUGAUCCUGACGCUCAGACACGAAAGCUAGGGUAGCGAACGGGAUUAGAUACCCCAGUAGUC
This 442-nucleotide ribosomal RNA is filed under the name uncultured bacterium. Its description in RNAcentral is "bacterial SSU rRNA". It matches the Rfam family "Bacterial small subunit ribosomal RNA", at positions 337 to 795 of the family's 1533-position model. The record is from RNAcentral.